GACGAACGCUGGCGGCGUGCCUAAUACAUGCAAGACGAGCGCAGGAAGCUGACGGAACUCUUCGGAGGGAAGGCAGUGGAAUGAGCGGCGGACGGGUGAGUAACACGUAAGGAACCUGCCUCAAGGAUUGGGAUAACUCCGAGAAAUCGGAGCUAAUACCGGAUAGUUCAUCGGACCGCAUGGUCCGUUGAUGAAAGGCGCUUCGGCGUCACCUUGAGAUGGCCUUGCGGUGAAUUAGCUAGUUGGUGGGGUAACGGCCCACCAAGGCGACGAUGCAUAGCCGACCUGAGAGGGUGAUCGGCCACACUGGGACUGUGACACGGCCCAGACUCCUACGGGAGGCAGCAGUAGGGAAUCUUCCACAAUGGACGAAAGUCUGAUGGAGCAACGCCGCGUGAGUGAUGAAGGUUUUCGGAUCGUAAAACUCUGUUGUAAGGGAAGAACACGUACGAGAGGGAAUGCUCGUACCUUGACGGUACCUUACGAGAAAGCCACGGCUAACUACGUGCCAGCAGCCGCGGUAA
RNAcentral lists this ribosomal RNA (524 nucleotides) under uncultured bacterium. Its description in RNAcentral is "partial 16S ribosomal RNA". It matches the Rfam family "Bacterial small subunit ribosomal RNA", at positions 28 to 523 of the family's 1533-position model. The record is from RNAcentral.